RNAcentral lists this ribosomal RNA (253 nucleotides) under uncultured bacterium. RNAcentral describes it as "partial 16S ribosomal RNA". It matches the Rfam family "Bacterial small subunit ribosomal RNA", at positions 524 to 776 of the family's 1533-position model. The record is from RNAcentral.
UACAGAGGUCUCAAGCGUUGUUCGGAUUCAUUGGGCGUAAAGGGUGCGUAGGUGGCGCCAUAAGUCAGGUGUGAAAUCUCGGGGCUCAACCCCGAAACUGCACUUGAUACUGUGGUGCUCGAGUACUGGAGAGGAGAUUGGAAUUUACGGUGUAGCAGUGAAAUGCGUAGAUAUCGUAAGGAAGACCAGUGGCGAAGGCGAAUCUCUGGACAGUUACUGACGCUGAGGCACGAAGGCCAGGGGAGCAAACGGG